RNAcentral lists this long non-coding RNA (1059 nucleotides) under Struthio camelus australis. Its description in RNAcentral is "lncRNA (ENSSCUG00000011930.1)". Lineage: Eukaryota; Metazoa; Chordata; Aves; Struthioniformes; Struthionidae. The record is from RNAcentral.
GUCUUUGGGCAAAUACUGGAUAAAGAGCCAUCAUUCCUCUAGCCACUGUGGUGAGUGAAGACUUUACUGCACAAGAGGUGGCUGCAGCCAGGAAAUUAGCCUGGUCCUGCCACAGUUACGGAGGAUCCAGGAAGAGUAGAUCUGCCAAUGAGAAGGUAAGAUAAUUUCAGCAAGCAAGGAUGAAAUGCGCUCCAUCGUGGGGUCUCACCUGGGGCCGUGCCUCGCUGGAUGCAGAGAGCUCAUCUCCUAGGAGCAUUCCCUGCUUGGCCUUCCAGCUAUCCAGGAUGGCAUAUUGCGUCUCAUUAUUCCAGCCUUCUCUUUGUGGCUUUCCCUGCGGUUUUGUUCAGCUGCAUUAUUCUCUGGCGCCGGAAUGCCGUGUUUCUUCGAUCAGAGGCCGGAUCCUACCCUCUGAAAAAAGCAGUACCUUUGACAUGACUGGCCCCCAGCCAGAUGAGGAGACCAGUUGGCACCUCAGUCAAAUACAUUUUUACGCCACAGAGCAGCUCCCCCACACACACUGUGAGCUGCUGGAGGCUGCACAGGUCUUACUUAACAACCUCGGCCGUAUAGCCAACUGGGUCUUGCACAAGCAUCUCCAAGAAGUCACAGCCUUUCUGUUAAAUUCAGUGAGUUUUGGAAUUAAGUUCAUGCCAGAUCCAGAUUAUAUCACGAAUCUUAAGACUGCAUUUUCUUGGGCACUUAGAAAUUUAUCCGUCUGUCUGUGAGAUUUCUUUCACUAAGUGAAUCUACAUGUGGGACUUUAUAUCUUUGUCAUUGAUAAAAUAUUCUUGGGCCUUUUCCCUUGUUCAUCAGAAAAGGAAAACGUAAAAACAAAGACUACUUAAAAUGUGAUUAAUGGACUAGUCAUCUGAUGUAAAGCUAAAAUUAGGGCUGCUCAGAGCAAAAUUUGGUCACAAAUAUAAAUCUUGAAUCUCUGUCCCUCCCUUGCCUGUGACUCCAUGACUUUGAACAUAACUUGUAGCUAACAUCAAACAGAAUUUGUCCUUCUUUUAAAACUGUGACACUUUUCCUUGCUAGUUGCUGGGGUCUUAGAAAAAU